ACUAGUUCAACACAAGAGGCUGAUAAAUUUAAAUAUAUUUCUUUGAUAAGUGUUAGAAAUUUGGAAACAAAAUGAGUAGAUCAAUAUGAACCAUGUGUUUAUAUUAAAAUCAGAACACUUCCAGGUGGGGUCUGAGAGCUUAGGUAGGCCCGAUUCUGGUAGUAAUCAUAAUAUAUUUCAUUUAGAGGCUAAGCCGAUGAGGAUUUAGAAACAAAGGAAAAAAGGAAUAAGGACAUGUCGAUUGUAGCAGAUGGAUUGAUUCAUAGCCAAAGCAUCUUCAAUGGAGUUGUAUCUGUGGGAGGUGAUGACGAACACUCAGGAGAAAUAACUUCAUAAUCGGUAAUGGUAGAGGCAACCAUGGAUUUUGAGGCCUGGUCGGUGAUUCAUGGAUUGAUCGUAUGCAAGAGAGUGUAAAUCAGUUGAGGCGACCAUAGAUUCCAGACAAUAAUGGAGUGGUUUCUUUGUUCUUGUAUGUGUCGAGUUCAUCUGCAUAUGUUUCUCAAUACAAAAGUCUCCAUUUUUUACCAAUGAAUCUCUUUUAGGUUUAAUCUUGUGUUAUGUAGCUCUUCUUUAAUUGUGUACCUAUUUAAUUUAAAGGCUGAAUAUUUGAUCCUAUGAUUUCAAAAUAGAUAUUGAUUGCAUUAGAA
This is a long non-coding RNA of Lactuca sativa (garden lettuce), 647 nucleotides long. RefSeq lists it as uncharacterized. NCBI's taxonomy places the organism in Eukaryota, Viridiplantae, Streptophyta, Magnoliopsida, Asterales, Asteraceae. The record is from RefSeq and is a predicted model, not a curated record.